Molecule: ribosomal RNA, 800 nt
Filed under: uncultured bacterium
Lineage: Bacteria
Description: bacterial SSU rRNA
Rfam family: Bacterial small subunit ribosomal RNA
Source: RNAcentral
AGAGUUUGAUCCUGGCUCAGGAUGAACGCUGGCGGCGUGCUUAACACAUGCAAGUCGAGCGAAGCGGCUGAAUUGAUUCUUCGGAUGAUUUUCAGUUGACUGAGCGGCGGACGGGUGAGUAACGCGUGGGUGACCUGCCCCAUACCGGGGGAUAACAGCUGGAAACGGCUGCUAAUACCGCAUAAGCGCACAGAGCUGCAUGGCUCGGUGUGAAAAACUCCGGUGGUAUGGGAUGGGCCCGCGUCUGAUUAGGCAGUUGGCGGGGUAACGGCCUACCAAACCGACGAUCAGUAGCCGGCCUGAGAGGGCGACCGGCCACAUUGGGACUGAGACACGGCCCAAACUCCUACGGGAGGCAGCAGUGGGGAAUAUUGCACAAUGGGGGAAACCCUGAUGCAGCGACGCCGCGUGAGCGAAGAAGUAUUUCGGUAUGUAAAGCUCUAUCAGCAGGGAAGAUAAUGACGGUACCUGACUAAGAAGCCCCGGCUAACUACGUGCCAGCAGCCGCGGUAAUACGUAGGGGGCAAGCGUUAUCCGGAUUUACUGGGUGUAAAGGGAGCGUAGACGGCAAGGCAAGUCUGAUGUGAAAACCCAGGGCUUAACCCUGGGACUGCAUUGGAAACUGUCUGGCUCGAGUGCCGGAGAGGUAAGCGGAAUUCCUAGUGUAGCGGUGAAAUGCGUAGAUAUUAGGAAGAACACCAGUGGCGAAGGCGGCUUACUGGACGGUAACUGACGUUGAGGCUCGAAAGCGUGGGGAGCAAACAGGAUUAGAUACCCUGGUAGUCCACGCCGUAAACGAU